RNAcentral lists this ribosomal RNA (301 nucleotides) under uncultured bacterium. RNAcentral's name for it is "partial 16S ribosomal RNA". It matches the Rfam family "Bacterial small subunit ribosomal RNA", at positions 509 to 807 of the family's 1533-position model. The record is from RNAcentral.
CAGCAGCCGCGGUAAUACGAAGGGUGCAAGCGUUACUCGGAAUUACUGGGCGUAAAGCGUGCGUAGGUGGUGGUUUAAGUCCGUUGUGAAAGCCCUGGGCUCAACCUGGGAAUUGCAGUGGAUACUGGGUCACUAGAGUGUGGUAGAGGAUAGUGGAAUUUCCGGUGUAGCAGUGAAAUGCGUAGAGAUCGGAAGGAACAUCUGUGGCAAAGGCGACUAUCUGGGCCAACACUGACACUGAGGCACGAAAGCGUGGGGAGCAAACAGGAUUAGAGACCACUGUAGUCCCUGUCUCUUAUAC